RNAcentral lists this ribosomal RNA (460 nucleotides) under uncultured bacterium. Its description in RNAcentral is "partial 16S ribosomal RNA". It matches the Rfam family "Bacterial small subunit ribosomal RNA", at positions 338 to 795 of the family's 1533-position model. The record is from RNAcentral.
CCUACGGGGGGCAGCAGUGAGGAAUAUUGGUCAAUGGACGAGAGUCUGAACCAGCCAAGUAGCGUGAAGGAUGACUGCACUAUGGGUUGUAAACCUCUUUUAUAAAGGAAUAAAACGAGGCACGUGUGCCUGUUUGCAUGUACUUUAUGAAUAAGGAUCGGCUAACUCCGUGCCAGCAGCCGCGGUAAUACGGAGGAUUCGAGCGUUAUCCGGAUUUAUUGGGUUUAAAGGGAGCGUAGAUGGGUUGUUAAGUCAGGUGUGAAAGUGUGCGGCUCAACCGUAAAAUUGCAAUUGAUACUGGCAGUCUUGAGUACAGUUGAGGUAGGCGGAAUUCGUGGUGUAGCGGUGAAAUGCAUAGAUAUCGCGAAGAACCCCGAUUGCGAAGGCAGCUUACUAAACUGUGACUGACAUUGAGGCUCGAAAGUGUGGGUAUCGAACAGGAUUAGAUACCCUUGUAGUC